Molecule: transfer RNA, 73 nt
Filed under: Ovis aries (sheep)
Lineage: Eukaryota; Metazoa; Chordata; Mammalia; Artiodactyla; Bovidae
Rfam family: tRNA
About the family: Transfer RNA (tRNA) molecules are approximately 80 nucleotides in length. Their secondary structure includes four short double-helical elements and three loops (D, anti-codon, and T loops).
Source: Rfam by way of RNAcentral
UCCCUGAUGGUCCAGUGGCUACAACUCUGCACUCCCAAUGCUGGGGGCCCAGGUUAGAUUCUUGGUCAGGGAA